Long non-coding RNA from Leptinotarsa decemlineata (Colorado potato beetle), 806 nucleotides. RefSeq lists it as uncharacterized. The record is from RefSeq and is a predicted model, not a curated record. NCBI's taxonomy places the organism in Eukaryota, Metazoa, Arthropoda, Insecta, Coleoptera, Chrysomelidae.
UGACAGUUGUACAAAAAGUAUUUUUUGUAGUUCACUAAAAUCGUACAUACAAUCAUUCUGAAGAUGUGGCUCAAAUAUUAGGAAUAUUUAUAGUGGAAAAACCGAUCGACUAUUCGAAAUUUAUGAUCCAGUCACGUUCACAGUGGAAAAUGGUAGUACAAUGAAAGUAAUGGAAUGUAUAAUAAUAUAUGGAUGUGCAAGUUUAUGGCCACUCUAUAUGUGAUAGGUGUAUUACCUCAAGAGAAGUAGGCGAUAAACAAUAAAAACAGCAGCGACCCAAGAAUGGAACCCUGUGGUAUCCCUAAUGUGGCUAAUUAGUCCAUCGAUUUGUGGCAAUCAAUUUCAUCAUAUCUUAGAAUGAGUAGGAUCUGAGAAGCUUCACCAGAUCAGCAGUGGAUCCAAAUAGAUAAAUUUCUUGGCAGAUUGGUUAUACAUCUUUCUUCAUGUUGGAAUCCAUGUUGAUCUUUCAACAUUAUGCUAAAUAUGCUGAAAGAUAAAUGAGAAGCGAAAAUGUAUUUUCUGAAGACAUAUAUGUCAACAAAAUAUCUGUUACUUCGAAAAAUUUUUUCAAUUCGCUAUUGUUUAUUCUUUUAUAGUAUGAACUUUCAAAUCAGGUGAUUUUUUCGAUAUAAAUCAUCGAAAAGUUUUUAUCCAACAUUUUACCUUAUCGAAUCGAGUCAAAUCAAACUAUUCAUUCCAGAAUUGUCAGUUGCACAAUUUAUUAUGUAUAGAAAAAUGCUUGUAGUGCUAAUUUCUGCACGAGGAAAGACUUUUUUUCUCUCAAUUUAAAUUUUUGGUGCAAAUUA